Long non-coding RNA from Dipodomys spectabilis (banner-tailed kangaroo rat), 99 nucleotides. RefSeq lists it as uncharacterized. The record is from RefSeq and is a predicted model, not a curated record. The transcript is spliced from 3 exons. Lineage: Eukaryota; Metazoa; Chordata; Mammalia; Rodentia; Heteromyidae.
AACUUAUAUAAAAGGUAAUGGUACAAAUUAAAAGAACUUAGGAUGUUCUGGUACAACUUAUAGAAAAGGUAAUAAUAACCCCAAACAUGCAAUGGUCUU